This 68-nucleotide transfer RNA is filed under the name Afroedura karroica. RNAcentral's name for it is "tRNA-Trp". It matches the Rfam family "tRNA". From Rfam's summary of the family: Transfer RNA (tRNA) molecules are approximately 80 nucleotides in length. Their secondary structure includes four short double-helical elements and three loops (D, anti-codon, and T loops). The record is from RNAcentral. Lineage: Eukaryota; Metazoa; Chordata; Lepidosauria; Squamata; Gekkonidae.
AGAAAUUUAGGUUAGCCUAAACCAGGAGCCUUCAAAGCCCCAAAAAGGGGAUAAACCCCUAAUUUCUG